UCCGGUUUGUCACCGGCAGUCUCGCCAGAGUUCCCAACUGAAUGAUGGCAAAUGGCGAUAGGGGUUGCGCUCGUUGCCGGACUUAACCGAACACCUCACGGCACGAGCUGACGACAGCCAUGCAGCACCUGUCACUCGAUUCCAUCUUGCGAUGGCACCACCGCCUUUCAGCAGUGUUUCGAGGAUGUCAAACCCAGGUAAGGUUCUUCGCGUUGCUUCGAAUUGAACCACAUGCUCCACCGCUUGUGUGAGCCCCCGUCAAUUCCUUUGAGUUUUAGCCUUGCGACCGUACUUCCCAGGCGGUCGACUUAGCACUUUUGCUUCGACCGUGACGGCGUCAGAGCCACCACGAUCUAGUCGACAUCGUUUACAGCCAGGACUAC
RNAcentral lists this unclassified non-coding RNA (383 nucleotides) under uncultured bacterium. RNAcentral describes it as "contains 16S-23S intergenic spacer region". The record is from RNAcentral.